Molecule: ribosomal RNA, 468 nt
Filed under: uncultured bacterium
Lineage: Bacteria
Description: partial 16S ribosomal RNA
Rfam family: Bacterial small subunit ribosomal RNA
Source: RNAcentral
GACGAACGCUGGCGGCGUGCUUAACACAUGCAAGUCGAACGGAAAGGCCCUGCUUUUGUGGGGUGCUCGAGUGGCGAACGGGUGAGUAACACGUGAGUAACCUGCCCUUGACUUUGGGAUAACUUCAGGAAACUGGGGCUAAUACCGGAUAGGAGCUCCUGCUGCAUGGUGGGGGUUGGAACGUUUCGGCGGUUGGGGAUGGACUCGCGGCUUAUCAGCUUGUUGGUGGGGUAGUGGCUUACCAAGGCUUUGACGGGUAGCCGGCCUGAGAGGGUGACCGGCCACAUUGGGACUGAGAUACGGCCCAGACUCCUACGGGAGGCAGCAGUGGGGAAUAUUGCACAAUGGGCGGAAGCCUGAUGCAGCAACGCCGCGUGCGGGAUGACGGCCUCCGGGUUGUAAACCGCUUUCGCCUGUGACGAAGCGUGAGUGACGGUAAUGGGUAAAGAAGCACCGGCUAACUACGUG